CCCUGUCCUUGCUUUAUUUUUUCAGAGUAAUGAUAGAAAUAAAGCUGUUGAUGUGUUUUAUGAUCCUGCUGAUGAGUGGGAACCUGACCUUUCAGACAGCUCCAUUUCCUUGCUUUCCAGAAGAAGAAGUAGAAGCUUCAUGAAGAACAAGAGAGUUUCUGGAUGUUUGUCUGAGAUAAAAUUGCAAUCUAUACAGAAUAAACAGACUUCCUAUAUAUCAGGUUUACUGAACAAGUCCAGCAUAUGCUCAAGCAUUUCUGAAUUGUUUCUUCCUGGAAUUUGCAAGGAGUCUAUAAGUUCAGCUUUAGAUUUGCUCGGACAGAGUCGUGAAGGAGGAAAAAGCAUAGCAGAUAGUCUCCUAACUAAUUUGUUUAUAAUCUUUUCUGGGGUGUCUGCCAUUUCAAAAGCCUAUGAACAGCAAGAUGAAGAAUGUCAGGAAAACAGUAAGUCUUGUUUUCAUAGUGGUUUAAACAUUUCUUAUGACUUCUUUCAGAUGCACAAGCAUUCAUGUGUUUUUCAGUCACAUGAAUUAAUGUUCCUACGUUCAUUUG
Cyanistes caeruleus (blue tit) is the source of this 551-nucleotide non-coding RNA. NCBI's taxonomy places the organism in Eukaryota, Metazoa, Chordata, Aves, Passeriformes, Paridae. The record is from RefSeq and is a predicted model, not a curated record.